Heterocephalus glaber (naked mole-rat) is the source of this 539-nucleotide long non-coding RNA. NCBI's taxonomy places the organism in Eukaryota, Metazoa, Chordata, Mammalia, Rodentia, Bathyergidae. The record is from Ensembl.
CAGGGAUGCUGGUCAGCCAAAGCAGGGAGGGAGAAGCCUGUGGCAGGCAUUUUCUCCACACCAUCCAUGGAAGCAUUGCUCUCAUGUGCAUCUCUGUUGCUAGCAAAUCACAGUUCCGGAAUGCAUUUCCCCAUCUGUGAAAAUGGGAGCAGUCAGAGGGUUCUGUGAGGAUAGAGGCGGUGAUACUUGGCAUAGAUUUGGAUCGUCCCAAAUCCCCUGUAAAAGCAGAAACAAAAUCCCACGAAGACAUUUACAACAAAGCUAGGAGACAAAGUAUCUUCAUGAACUCCAAAAACAAGCAAGGAUAGAUCAACAGCUGCAAGACCUGUUAGUCAUUGCUGUGUUUGUCGUAUAAAUAGAAGAGAACCAACCAGCAAGGAGUCUGACAGACCUGAGAGGUAUGCCUUUUCCAUAAAUCCGUCCUGAGGAAUCUAGUUGAGAAGAGCUUCAGGCAAAACACAAACAAAACAUGACUAGAGAGAAAUUGACAGAGGGCUAGUGGUAAGUAUUGAAUGUAUGUUUACUUGCAGAACGAAGGC